GAGGGGAAAGAGGAAAACAGUGAUGAGCUUGCACACACAAAAAAGAAAAGCUAAAUGAGUUAUUAUGUUUUUGGCAUGUUCAGCAUCUGUCAGGCAGGCAACCAACUGCAAUGGGUGAGAAAAAGGUGAAUGCAAGAAAGAGAGAGAAGUGGGGAAGGCAGAAAGAGAGAGGAGGUGAUGUUAAAGGGAGGAGGAAUGGGGGAGAAAUGAGAGUGGGAGGUAAAGGCAGGAGCAGAGAAAGGGAGAAAAAAAGGGAGAAUGAGCACAUGUGGAAGUCAUUAGGGUUUGGGUCAGGAUGCAGUCGUUCUUCACGGUGCGUUUUUACGCAGAGAAGCGCUGGCAGAGAACCCUGAGGAGAGUCUGGUCGAGGUUAAGGGCGGUGCGGGGUGGAGGGGGCAGGUCGCUGAUAGGUAAAAGCCCCGGCUCAAACUCAAACUCGGGGUGUCGAAUCCACUGAGAACCCCGGGCUCAAACAGAUAAAGAGCGGAGAUCCUUACCGUUAACUUUACACUUCAGUCCCAGCCUACGCGUCUUAACUCGGCCUGUCUGUUUUCUUUUAUCUCAGCCACUCAAUAUUUUCUCUAUAUUUUCUCUUUCCAUUCCAGAGGGGCCCACUUCCUGCCUGAUUUUUUUUUCUUUUGGCUUUUUUUUUUUGUUUGAGGGAGGGAGAGAGAGAGCGAGAGAGAUUAAAUGACAGCCUGGCGUUAAAACUCAACAUCUGGUAGUGCUUAGCACACAGAGAUGCAGGGAAAGGAGGGAGAAGUUAAAGAGACGGCGGGGUGAAGGAGAAGGAUAAGAAGCCAAAAAGGAGAAGAAGAAAAAGAAGAAGAAGAAGAAAAAGAAGAAGUGAAUGGCUGAAGUAUCAGUGGAUGGAGGUGGGAAGUGAAGGAACACAGAAUAGAAGGUGCAUGGAAAGCACAAGUGAGGAUGUGUUGGAGAAAAAAACAAAAAUAUUUUAUUUGAUCAUCAAAACCUGCAGACACAGUUUUUUUUGUUCAAGAACUCAUUCCAGAGGACAUUUUCCUGAAAACUCUUGAUGGGAAGCAACUCAAUUGGGCCUCCUGGGCAACAUUGCCGCAUCAGAAAGGGCUGGCUGGAGGAGCUGCUGUGUGUCUGCCUAUCUACACUUGCUGUGCAGAAUGUCCUCCAACCUGUACAGCAGGCACAGACAGGCAGAGAGACGCCAGCCUGCCACGCAAAGGCCGGCAUGUGACCAAAUGCUGCAUCCUGUUGAUGCUGGCCUGUGGAUGCAAAUGAUGGUGGGCUAUAGCUGCUAAAGACAUUUGCUGUCGUUGGUCAUUCUUAAAAUAAAAAAAUACUGCUUUGAAGCAGUCAUUUACCCA
This is a long non-coding RNA of Poecilia latipinna (sailfin molly), 1343 nucleotides long. RefSeq lists it as uncharacterized. The record is from RefSeq and is a predicted model, not a curated record. The transcript is spliced from 2 exons. Lineage: Eukaryota; Metazoa; Chordata; Actinopteri; Cyprinodontiformes; Poeciliidae.